UAUUAUGCUGUUAUUCACCGAGA
This 23-nucleotide microRNA is filed under the name Eisenia fetida (common brandling worm). Its description in RNAcentral is "Efe-Mir-1993-P1_3p (mature (guide))". Lineage: Eukaryota; Metazoa; Annelida; Clitellata; Crassiclitellata; Lumbricidae. The record is from RNAcentral.